This 52-nucleotide non-coding RNA is filed under the name uncultured Mamiellales. The record is from RNAcentral. Lineage: Eukaryota; Viridiplantae; Chlorophyta; Mamiellophyceae; Mamiellales.
CUCGGUUGGUUUGCUCCUCUUCCUGGUCUACGAGAGUUUCCAAUCUACCGGG